GUGAGAACGUGAAACACAUGGGAGUAUAUGCUGCGGAGUAUAACUGUUCAUGCUAUUUACUACAAAUAUUUUAUUAAAUAUUUAAACGUAACUUUACCUGUUUAUGUUUCUGUAUGUGCUAAAGUGUAACGCUGCUAUUUUACACUCAUCACUGUAUGCGUUUUAUUUUAAAAGGGCUGUCAAAGUUGGGUUCUCCUGUCCUCCAGUCCAGCUGGGGACGCUACUUGUGUGAUGAACCAUAUGGCACCUCACUAUCUUUGAACGCAUAUUAGCAGAUAUAUGGUCCAGCAAUUUCACUGUAUGUACAAGAUCUAACUUGACCUUAUAUUUUUGUCAAGGUGGCUGCAGUCCAGCAUGUCAGAAAUUACAUGCACUGUGUUCAGGUUUUCCUAUUAAAUCUUUGCUUAAUAAUACACAGAUACUACAUUAUGCCCAGUAACUUUGUGUAACAGUAUAUAAUGGCUAAAAAAUAAACAUGAUUCAGCAUCUAAGUCAGGCAUAUAAGUAAAACCACGCAAUUGAAUGUUUUAGUAACAAUUUAAAGAGCCAAUCCCCUUGACAAACUCUAGAUGGUCCUCUCAUAUGUAAAGGUCAUGCCCCGGUCAAAAGAGACCUCCAAAGAUGUCAGGAUGAGUGUUGUAAAUGCUCACCAGUCUGGAGAGGGUUAUAAAACCAUUGCCAAACGUUUCGGGAUUCAUCGGUCCACCGUAAGAAAAAUAGUCUACAAGUGGAAAAAAUUCAAGACAACAGAGACUCUACCUAGAUGUGGACGUCCGACAAAGUUAUCCCAGAGAGCACUAAGGAAGAUCAUCCAGGAUGUGCAAAAGAACCCCAAGACCACAUCCAAGGAUCUGCAGGCCUCACUUGCUGCAGCUGAUGUCUACGUUCAUGACUCGACUAUACGACGCAGGCUGAAUAGCAGAGACGUACACCAAAGGUUAUCCAACAGGAAACCUUCCCUCUCGAAGAAGAAUACUGACAUCAAGUUAGGAAAAACUUGCCAGCAUGACAUCAGCACAUGGGACAAGCAGGUAAAAGCUGGAGAAACCUUCCAAGAGUGUGGGCCGCUGGAGCAGCCCAUCAACGUGCAAAACACCUGUGAUGAAGACCAAGAGAAACUUGCAAAACCAGGUCCUGACUCAACAGCUUAGAAGCCACAGGUGGAGUUAUAUAACAAGAUAUGAAUUAAUGCCAUUGUGUAUCAGUGACUGAGGGAUGCAUUGUAUGACCCCUAAAGUUGCAAGUUGUCACAGUAAACACUGUGCUUAACUUUGUUCUAAGUGUGUUAUUAGUAAAUGAAUCAAUUUCAGAGAA
Molecule: long non-coding RNA, 1314 nt
Organism: Paramormyrops kingsleyae
Lineage: Eukaryota; Metazoa; Chordata; Actinopteri; Osteoglossiformes; Mormyridae
Source: RefSeq, a predicted model, not a curated record